UCUUGACGAACGCUGGCGGCGUGCUUAACACAUGCAAGUCGAACGGAAAGGCCCUGCUUUUGUGGGGUGCUCGAGUGGCGAACGGGUGAGUAACACGUGAGUAACCUGCCCUUGACUUUGGGAUAACUUCAGGAAACUGGGGCUAAUACCGGAUAGGAGCUCCUGCUGCAUGGUGGGGGUUGGAAAGUUUCGGCGGUUGGGGAUGGACUCGCGGCUUAUCAGCUUGUUGGUGGGGUAGUGGCUUACCAAGGCUUUGACGGGUAGCCGGCCUGAGAGGGUGACCGGCCACAUUGGGACUGAGAUACGGCCCAGACUCCUACGGGAGGCAGCAGUGGGGAAUAUUGCACAAUGGGCGGAAGCCUGAUGCAGCAACGCCGCGUGCGGGAUGACGGCCUUCGGGUUGUAAACCGCUUUCGCCUGUGACGAAGCGUGAGUGACGGUAAUGGGUAAAGAAGCACCGGCUAACUACGUGCCAGCAGCCGCGGUGAUACGUAGGGUGCGAGCGUUGUCCGGAUUUAUUGGGCGUAAAGGGCUCGUAGGUGGUUGAUCGCGUCGGAAGUGUAAUCUUGGGGCUUAACCCUGAGCGUGCUUUCGAUACGGGUUGACUUGAGGAAGGUAGGGGAGAAUGGAAUUCCUGGUGGAGCGGUGGAAUGCGCAGAUAUCAGGAGGAACACCAGUGGCGAAGGCGGUUCUCUGGGCCUUUCCUGACGCUGAGGAGCGAAAGCGUGGGGAGCGAACAGGCUUAGAUACCCUGGUAGUCCACGCUGUAAACGGUGGGUACUAGGUGUGGGGUCCAUUCCACGGGUUCCGUGCCGUAGCUAACGCUUUAAGUACCCCGCCUGGGGAGUACGGCCGCAAGGCUAAAACUCAAAGGAAUUGACGGGGCCCCGCACAAGCGGCGGAGCAUGCGGAUUAAUUCGAUGCAACGCGUAGAACCUUACCUGGGUUUGACAUGGAUCGGGAGUGCUCAGAGAUGGGUGUGCCUCUUUUGGGGUCGGUUCACAGGUGGUGCAUGGCUGUCGUCAGCUCGUGUCGUGAGAUGUUGGGUUAAGUCCCGCAACGAGCGCAACCCUUGUUCACUGUUGCCAGCACGUUAUGGUGGGGACUCAGUGGAGACCGCCGGGGUCAACUCGGAGGAAGGUGGGGAUGACGUCAAGUCAUCAUGCCCCUUAUGUCCAGGGCUUCACGCAUGCUACAAUGGCUGGUACAGAGAGUGGCGAGCCUGUGAGGGUGAGCGAAUCUCGGAAAGCCGGUCUCAGUUCGGAUUGGGGUCUGCAACUCGACCUCAUGAAGUCGGAGUCGCUAGUAAUCGCAGAUCAGCAACGCUGCGGUGAAUACGUUCCCGGGGCUUGUACACACCGCCCGUCAAGUCAUGAAAGUUGGUAACACCCGAAGCCGGUGGCCUAACCGUUGUGGGGGAGCCGUCGAAGGUGGGACUGG
Molecule: ribosomal RNA, 1440 nt
Filed under: uncultured organism
Description: partial small subunit ribosomal RNA
Rfam family: Bacterial small subunit ribosomal RNA
Source: RNAcentral